Molecule: ribosomal RNA, 402 nt
Filed under: uncultured bacterium
Lineage: Bacteria
Description: bacterial SSU rRNA
Rfam family: Bacterial small subunit ribosomal RNA
Source: RNAcentral
GGGCCCGCACAAGCGGUGGAGCAUGUGGUUUAAUUCGAUGAUACGCGAGGAACCUUACCAGGGCUUAAAUGGAAAAUGACAGGGGCAGAGACGCCCCCUUCUUCGGACAUUUUUCAAGGUGCUGCAUGGUUGUCGUCAGCUCGUGCCGUGAGGUGUUAGGUUAAGUCCUAUAACGAGCGCAACCCCUACCGUUAGUUGCCAGCGAGUAAUGUCGGGGACUCUAACGGAACUGCCGGUGCAAACCGUGAGGAAGGUGGGGACGACGUCAAAUCAUCACGGCCCUUACGUCCUGGGCCACACACGUGCUACAAUGGUAUCUACAACAGGAAGCAAGACUGCGAAGUUAAGCAAAUCCCUAAAAGAUACCUCAGUUCGGAUUGCACUCUGCAACUCGAGUGCAUG